Molecule: small nucleolar RNA, 214 nt
Filed under: Nannizzia gypsea CBS 118893
Lineage: Eukaryota; Fungi; Ascomycota; Eurotiomycetes; Onygenales; Arthrodermataceae
Description: Arthroderma gypseum CBS 118893 Small nucleolar RNA snR80
Rfam family: Small nucleolar RNA snR80
Source: Rfam by way of RNAcentral
CAGCCUUUGCCAACACUCUGGCCUGUACCAGCGCGAAUGUUUUCAUUUGAGCAAAAUCUCUACGGUACUGGCCUAUUUUGGUGCAAAGGAGAUCGAGUGACCAACUACUCACCGCGGUAUCCUGGAUUUUGCAUGGGUAUUACUUCCUUUUCGGAGGAAGGCAUGCUCGUGUAUCUAUCCUGUGGAUGCAGUGGUCCAUCUUGAAGGUCUAAAU